AAGUCGUAACAAGGUUUCCGUAGGUGAACCUGCGGAAGGAUCAUUACAGUGCUCGUCGGGACGUCUGCCAAACCGGACGCUCCCGCACCUGCCCACCCGUGUCUACCUUCUCCUCUGUUGCUUUGGCGGGCCCGGCCGGGCAGGCGUACCCACGCCUACCCGGCGACCGGCGGACCAGCCGCGUACCCACGCAGCCCCUCUGGGUAGCGCCCGUCAGAGGACCAUUGUGAACCCUUUUUUGUGAAUGUGGUAAACGUCUGAGCUGAUUAGCAGAAAUGCAAGUCAAAACUUUCAACAACGGAUCUCUUGGUUCUG
Molecule: unclassified non-coding RNA, 315 nt
Filed under: fungal sp.
Lineage: Eukaryota; Fungi
Description: partial internal transcribed spacer region
Rfam family: Eukaryotic small subunit ribosomal RNA (bases 1-46)
Source: RNAcentral